UCUCUCAGUUCGGACUGGAGUCUGCAACCCGACUCCACGAAGCUGGAUUCGCUAGUAAUCGCGCAUCAGCCACGGCGCGGUGAAUACGUUCCCGGGCCUUGUACACACCGCCCGUCAAGCCAUGGGAGUUUGUAACGCCCAAAGUCGGUGGCCUAACCUUUAUGGAGGGAGCCGCCUAAGGCGGGACAGAUGACUGGGGUGAAGUCGUAACAAGGUACC
RNAcentral lists this ribosomal RNA (219 nucleotides) under uncultured bacterium. Its description in RNAcentral is "partial 16S ribosomal RNA". It matches the Rfam family "Bacterial small subunit ribosomal RNA", at positions 1284 to 1500 of the family's 1533-position model. The record is from RNAcentral.